AUGAGAAUUCCUGGAGAAAGGUUGUAUGGUGGUUUGUACACUUUGAGGCUUACCUGUUAUCUGCUACCCAGCAGUCGACUUGUAUCUUCUGUGCUAAUCAGUGACAGUAGUGGAACUGAAUCAUCCAUGCAUAUGGUGGAAUCUUUGAAGUUUUUAAAAGAUGAUGAUAAUCAGAUCUACUUGAAAAAUUAACUGAAUUGAUUUGGUUGGAAUACUUUUUUGUUUGUUAAUCGAUUCUUUAACAUUCAGCCACUAGGUAAGUUGAGCCAAGUAAUUUAUAUGUGGUUUGAUUUAAACGUUAUUGGAAAGCUUUGUCAAGUACAAUAUUAAGUAAGCUCUGUAUUAAAUUUUGACAGUAAUGAUUUGAGGUCAUCAAAACCUGUGAUAGAUGCCUGCUAAUGAACGUAUUUGUAAGUCUUUACUGUAUUUUUGUAAGUAUCUUAAUUUCAGUUGAGAAUAGAAAAUAUUGUCAUUUAUAGUUUGAAAGCAGUUAUUUGAUUUACUGUUUUAAUGAUGAUUUACUUGUAAUCUUGAAGCAAUGUGAGAAUAUCAGAUUUUACUUUGAGUGAGAUUUUUAUGGGUAAUUAUACUGUAUCUUAUCAAAUUCAAAUCUUAAGUAUGAACUUUCUGAGAAAAUUAACAUCAUUCUUUAUUUUAAAGCAGUUUCAUUUGACAAAAAGUUUGAUUUCUAUUGUAAGCCUAGAAAUGUUAAGUAAAGACUUGCUAAAUUCAACUUCCUUGUUGCACUGUGAUGCUGUAUAAAGCUCCCGAGGUAGGCAACUUGUAACCAGGAAGAGUUUAGGCUUUUAGCAAAUUAUUGGUACUGCCAAGACAGAAUUUAGUGGGAACAGGACUUUGGCUACUGUUAAAAUGUCAGUAUAGUAAAGCCUGCUCUGUCAAACAGAUUUUUGGCAUCAGAAGUUUAAAUGAUACUGAUUUUAGGGCUUGGCAUUUUUUUUUUAAUCCAGGCAAACUCAUGCUUUAAUUAACCCUUUACACAGUAACAGAAAAUUUGGAGAAAAAAUUGAGUGUUCCUAAUUUAGGUUUCAAGGUUUGAGUUUCUAAAAUUCUAAAUUUUAUUCAUGAUUCUAAAAUUGUACAGCUUUUUGGUUAAUUUUGCUCCAAAUAAACUGGAAGUAUUUAAAACCCA
RNAcentral lists this long non-coding RNA (1150 nucleotides) under Oryctolagus cuniculus (rabbit). RNAcentral describes it as "lncRNA (ENSOCUG00000033382.1)". The record is from RNAcentral. Lineage: Eukaryota; Metazoa; Chordata; Mammalia; Lagomorpha; Leporidae.